UAUUCAAAUAAGAACCUUGAAGUAUGAAGUGGAAAGGGGUUCCACGGGAACAGCAGCUGGUUGUGGGUCAGGCGGUCCUAAGUGAUCCGUUAACUCGGAACAGAGAAGGGGUGCCUGACAUUGUCAGGAUUCUUUUUGAUGUACCAUUUCAAGGCAGUCUUCUAUAGGAAAUCGAGUUAAUAUUCCUGAUCCUGUCCAUGGAGAGUGGUACAUACUGGUCUCCCACCGGUUCGCAUCUAGCACGGUAACGCAACCGAUCUCGGAGACGUCGGCAAUAGUUCUGGGAAGAGUUCUCCUUUCUUUAUUCAGAGUGCGCCAUCCACUGGAACCCGGUUAUCAAGAGAUUGGGGAUUAGCCUCCGUAAAGCACCACAUUUCUUGUGAUGUCCCGAACGCUCUUGUCGGCCCUUGAAAACCCGAGCGACGUAAUGUAUUUCUCGUGGCAGGCCGUACUCAUAUCCGCAUCGGGUCCCCAAGGUGCAGAAUAUUUUCCAGAC
RNAcentral lists this non-coding RNA (496 nucleotides) under Opisthorchis viverrini. RNAcentral describes it as "Eukaryotic large subunit ribosomal RNA". It matches the Rfam family "Eukaryotic large subunit ribosomal RNA", at positions 1468 to 1888 of the family's 3401-position model. The record is from Rfam by way of RNAcentral. Lineage: Eukaryota; Metazoa; Platyhelminthes; Trematoda; Opisthorchiida; Opisthorchiidae.